This is a non-coding RNA of Acidianus hospitalis W1, 89 nucleotides long. The record is from Rfam. Lineage: Archaea; Thermoproteati; Thermoproteota; Thermoprotei; Sulfolobales; Sulfolobaceae.
CCCGCCGUAGCUCAGCCCGGUUUAGAGCGCCCGGCUGUAGAUAGGGGGCAGUUACCGGGUGGUCCGGGGUUCAAUUCCCCGCGGCGGGA